CGGCGGCCGUAACUAUAACGGUCCUAAGGUAGCGAAAUUCCUUGUCGGGUAAGUUCCGACCCGCACGAAAGGCGUAACGAUUUGGGCACUGUCUCAACAACAGACUCGGUGAAAUUGUAAUCCCGGUGAAGAUGCCGGGUACCUGCGACAGGACGGAAAGACCCCAUGGAGCUUUACUGUAGCUUGACAUUGAAUUUUGGUGCUACAUGUACAGGAUAGGUGGGAGGCUAUGAAGUCGGGACGCCAGUCUCGGCGGAGCCAUCCUUGGGAUACCACCCUUGUAGUACUGAGAUUCUAACCAGAUACCUUGAAUCAGGUAUUGGGACACUGUCAGGUGGGCAGUUUGACUGGGGCGGUCGCCUCCCAAAGAGUAACGGAGGCGCUCAAAGGUUCUCUCAGCACGGUCGGAAAUCGUGCGUAGAGUGUAAAGGCAGAAGAGAGCUUGAUUGCAAGACAUACAGGUCGAGCAAGGACGAAAGUCGGACUUAGUGAUCCGGUGGUUCCGCAUGGAAGGGCCAUCGCUCAACGGAUAAAAGCUACCCUGGGGAUAACAGGCUUAUCUCCCCCAAGAGUCCACAUCGACGGGGAGGUUUGGCACCUCGAUGUCGGCUCAUCACAUCCUGGGGCUGUAGUAGGUCCCAAGGGUUGGGCUGUUCGCCCAUUAAAGUGGUACGCGAGCUGGGUUCAGAACGUCGUGAGACAGUUCGGUCCCUAUCCGUCGCAGGCGUAGGAAAUUUGAGGAGACCUGUCCUUAGUACGAGAGGACCGGGAUGGACGUACCUCUGGUGUACCAGUUGUUCUGCCAAGGGCAUGGCUGGGUAGCUAUGUACGGAAUGGAUAAGCGCUGAAAGCAUCUAAGCGCGAAGCCAACUUCAAGAUAAGAUUUCCCACCGUAAGGGUAAGAUCCCAGGAAGACUACCUGGUUGAUAGGUCAAAGGUGUAAGUGCAGCAAUGCAUGUAGCUUAUUGAUACUAAUAGAUCGAGGACUUGACCAAG
This 996-nucleotide ribosomal RNA is filed under the name Paraclostridium sordellii. RNAcentral describes it as "partial 23S ribosomal RNA". It matches the Rfam family "Bacterial large subunit ribosomal RNA", at positions 1928 to 2925 of the family's 2925-position model. The record is from RNAcentral. Lineage: Bacteria; Bacillati; Bacillota; Clostridia; Peptostreptococcales; Peptostreptococcaceae.